This 641-nucleotide long non-coding RNA is filed under the name Anser brachyrhynchus (Pink-footed goose). Its description in RNAcentral is "lncRNA (ENSABRG00000004458.1)". Lineage: Eukaryota; Metazoa; Chordata; Aves; Anseriformes; Anatidae. The record is from RNAcentral.
AGCCUGCGCUGCAAUGUGAAGUGAUGCAGAAGCACAGACUGGCACCAGGAGCGGGCAGACUGGCUGCUGCGCCUGCGUCCCGCGGCUAUUUCUGGCGUGCAGAGACUGAGCGGUGUCUGCUGGGCCAAACGGCAGCCGAUGAGGAUAACGAGAGUAAUCUGGACAUAGCAGCUGUCUUCCGAGGACCUCAAAACUCUCUGUGGAUAUGCUUCUCUCUGCAAAAUUCCUCUCACUCCAUUUCUAUGAGAACUAUUCCUGCAAACCGGGUCCCUAAGAGGAUUAGCGAAGGGGAUACCAAUUUAUUUAUACCCACCUCAGCAUGGUAGCAGCCAAACACUGUAAGUUGCUGGGUUAUUAAAUGGCCUGUAGCACAUGAAAGAAGCUUCAAUCUUCCGGGGCAGUUCAGAGUGGACAGGUGUGCACCUCACAGCUGCUCUGAACUGACCCCCAGUUUUGGCAAUAUUUUUUUUUUCUUUUUAACCUGUUCACAUUGGUGAUAUGAACAGGAGUGCUCAGGACUAAAUGGACCACAGACGUUUGGUCCCUUUUAAAAUAUAAGAACAAUUUUCAGGCCUCUUUCCGUUGAACUUUUUUAGCUGAUAAAAAAUAAAAGAACAAAAGAGAGAUAUGGGGAGUUAGGG